GGGGCUAUAGUUAAUAAUAACAUUUGAGUUGCAUUCAAAAAGUACUACCCCUAAGUAGUUAGCCUCA
Molecule: transfer RNA, 67 nt
Filed under: Cornitermes pugnax
Lineage: Eukaryota; Metazoa; Arthropoda; Insecta; Blattodea; Termitidae
Description: tRNA-Ala
Source: RNAcentral